Molecule: transfer RNA, 91 nt
Filed under: Streptomyces sp. TUS-ST3
Lineage: Bacteria; Bacillati; Actinomycetota; Actinomycetes; Kitasatosporales; Streptomycetaceae
Description: tRNA-Arg
Source: RNAcentral
CGCCCAGCUUGGCCAGGUUGAAGCGGGCGUUGCGGGCGACCAGCGGGUCGAAGGUCCAGCGCAUGGUGCGGGCGCCGAGACCGAGCGCCCA